AGCGGCGGACGGGUGAGUAACGCGUGGGUAACCUGCCUCAUACAGGGGGAUAACAGUUGGAAACGGCUGCUAAUACCGCAUAAGCGCACAGUACCGCAUGGUACGGUGUGAAAAACUCCGGUGGUAUGAGAUGGACCCGCGUCUGAUUAGCUAGUUGGUGGGGUAACGGCCUACCAAGGCGACGAUCAGUAGCCGACCUGAGAGGGUGACCGGCCACAUUGGGACUGAGACACGGCCCAA
This 240-nucleotide ribosomal RNA is filed under the name uncultured bacterium. RNAcentral describes it as "partial 16S ribosomal RNA". It matches the Rfam family "Bacterial small subunit ribosomal RNA", at positions 94 to 334 of the family's 1533-position model. The record is from RNAcentral.